Molecule: unclassified non-coding RNA, 345 nt
Filed under: soil metagenome
Description: partial contains 5.8S ribosomal RNA, internal transcribed spacer 2, and large subunit ribosomal RNA
Rfam family: 5.8S ribosomal RNA (bases 1-120)
Source: RNAcentral
GAUGAAGAACGUAGCGAGAUGCGAUACGUAAUGUGAAUUGCAGAAUUCAGUGAAUCAUCGAGUCUUUGAACGCACAUUGCGCCCCCUGGUAUUCCGGGGGGCAUGCCUGUCCGAGCGUCAUUGCUGCCCUCAAGCACGGCUUGUGUGUUGGGCCUCCGUCCUCCUACCGGGGGACGGGCCCGAAAGGCAGCGGCGGCACCGCGUCCGGUCCUCGAGCGUAUGGGGCUUCGUCACCCGCUCUUGUAGGCCCGGCCGGCGCUUGCCGACACAUCAAUCUUUUUUCCAGGUUGACCUCGGAUCAGGUAGGGAUACCCGCUGAACUUAAGCAUAUCAAUAAGCGGAGGA